UUCUCUAAUUUUUGUGCUAUUUUCACAUUUCCUGACCGGUGUGAGAAAAAUAUUUCUCCUCACUAGUGAAAAAUCUGUUCUCGGCAAAUGAUUAGUCGAAAUUUGAUUAUGACGUCAAAAUGUUUUGUUUUCUUCUCAAUUUUCCUAUUGUGACGUCAUGAAAAAAGGCGACCUUGUCUGAUGACGUCGCAUAUAAAGAGCACAAUUUUCUGAAAAUCUUUGAAAAAGAACGAUAAAAAGCAUUAGAGAAACAGAUUCCGACACUAUAACUCGUGUAUUACGAUACUUCUCCACUCUCGACAGUUAAAUUUUAUUAUUUAAAGGGCUCGGCAAGCCUCGCGCUUUAAAUAAUAAAAUUUAACUGUCUCGAGUGGAGAAAUAUCGUAAUACACUUGUUGCAGUGUAAGAAUCUAUAUUUCUUACAUGGCUUAUUUUAUCUUUUUUGUCAGUGUUUUGAUUGAAUUAGGGAGCUACCAUUUGAUUUUUAUGGGGGGGCUAGGAUGAAAAAUUUUGUCCUGCAUUUUUUUUUAGUUGUAAUCUCUGUCCUGCCUUUUUAUUUUUCACUCUAUUCGGUCCUGCCUUUUUUUUUUUAUUAGUUUAUCCUGACUUUUUUACCUAAAUUGUCAUCCUGCCUUUUUUUUUUGCAAAGUGUCUCAUCCUGCCUUUUUUUUUUUACUCAAAACUCCUGUCCUGCCUAUUUUUUUCAAAUUUCAUCCUAGCCCCCCCAUAAAAAUCAAAUGGUAGCUCCCUUACUG
RNAcentral lists this long non-coding RNA (755 nucleotides) under Mytilus galloprovincialis (Mediterranean mussel). The record is from RNAcentral. Lineage: Eukaryota; Metazoa; Mollusca; Bivalvia; Mytilida; Mytilidae.